GACGAACGCUGGCGGCGUGCUUAACACAUGCAAGUCGAACGGUAAGGCCCUUCGGGGUACACGAGUGGCGAACGGGUGAGUAACACGUGGGUAAUCUGCCCUGCACAUCGGGAUAAGCCUGGGAAACUGGGUCUAAUACCGAAUAGGACCACAGAACACAUGUCCUGUGGUGGAAAGCUUUUGCGGUGUGGGAUGGGCCCGCGGCCUAUCAGCUUGUUGGUGGGGUGAUGGCCCACCAAGGCGACGACGGGUAGCCGGCCUGAGAGGGUGUCCGGCCACACUGGGACUGAGAUACGGCCCAGACUCCUACGGGAGGCAGCAGUGGGGAAUAUUGCACAAUGGGCGGAAGCCUGAUGCAGCGACGCCGCGUGGGGGAUGACGGCCUUCGGGUUGUAAACCUCUUUCACCAUCGACGAAGGUUCGGGUUUUCUCGGAUUGACGGUAGGUGGAGAAGAAGCACCGGCCAACUACGUGCCAGCAGCCGCGGUAAUACGUAGGGUGCGAGCGUUGUCCGGAAUUACUGGGCGUAAAGAGCUCGUAGGUGGUUUGUCGCGUUGUUCGUGAAAUCUCACGGCUUAACUGUGAGCGUGCGGGCGAUACGGGCAGACUUGAGUACUGCAGGGGAGACUGGAAUUCCUGGUGUAGCGGUGGAAUGCGCAGAUAUCAGGAGGAACACCGGUGGCGAAGGCGGGUCUCUGGGCAGUAACUGACGCUGAGGAGCGAAAGCGUGGGGAGCGAACAGGAUUAGAUACCCUGGUAGUCCACGCCGUAAACGGUGGGUACUAGGUGUGGGUUUCCUUCCUUGGGAUCCGUGCCGUAGCUAACGCAUUAAGUACCCCGCCUGGGGAGUACGGCCGCAAGGCUAAAACUCAAAGAAAUUGACGGGGGCCCGCACAAGCGGCGGAGCAUGUGGAUUAAUUCGAUGCAACGCGAAGAACCUUACCUGGGUUUGACAUGCACAGGACGCCGGCAGAGAUGUCGGUUCCCUUGUGGCCUGUGUGCAGGUGGUGCAUGGCUGUCGUCAGCUCGUGUCGUGAGAUGUUGGGUUAAGUCCCGCAACGAGCGCAACCCUUGUCUCAUGUUGCCAGCGGGUAAUGCCGGGGACUCGUGAGAGACUGCCGGGGUCAACUCGGAGGAAGGUGGGGAUGACGUCAAGUCAUCAUGCCCCUUAUGUCCAGGGCUUCACACAUGCUACAAUGGCCGGUACAAAGGGCUGCGAUGCCGCGAGGUUAAGCGAAUCCUUUUAAAGCCGGUCUCAGUUCGGAUCGGGGUCUGCAACUCGACCCCGUGAAGUCGGAGUCGCUAGUAAUCGCAGAUCAGCAACGCUGCGGUGAAUACGUUCCCGGGCCUUGUACACACCGCCCGUCACGUCAUGAAAGUCGGUAACACCCGAAGCCAGUGGCCUAACCCUUUGGGAGGGAGCUGUCGAAGGUGGGAUCGGCGAUUGGGACG
Molecule: ribosomal RNA, 1452 nt
Filed under: Mycobacterium gordonae
Lineage: Bacteria; Bacillati; Actinomycetota; Actinomycetes; Mycobacteriales; Mycobacteriaceae
Description: bacterial SSU rRNA
Rfam family: Bacterial small subunit ribosomal RNA
Source: RNAcentral